CCCUUAGAUGUUCUGGGCAGCACGCGCGCUACAAUGGUCUUCGCAAACGGAUGCAUUCUCGAAGGAGAAUGCCAAUCUUGGAAUCUAUGCCUUGGUCGGGACAGUUGCUUGCAAUUUUUCGACUCGAACCAGGAAUUCCUUGUAAUCGUGAUUCAUCACAUCACGAUGAAUACGUCCCUGCCCUUUGUACACACCGCCCGUAGCUCCUACCGAUCGAAGAGUUAGGUGAAUUGUUUUGAUCGAUAAGAUUUGACUAUGGUCAACUCUCGUUGUGAAAUUCUGUGAAUCUGACUGUUUAGAGGAAGGAAAAGUCGUAACA
RNAcentral lists this ribosomal RNA (319 nucleotides) under uncultured eukaryote. Its description in RNAcentral is "partial 18S ribosomal RNA". It matches the Rfam family "Eukaryotic small subunit ribosomal RNA", at positions 1470 to 1796 of the family's 1831-position model. The record is from RNAcentral.